UUGUCAGCCGCCGCGGUAAUACGAAGGGUGCAAGCGUUACUCGGAAUUACUGGGCGUAAAGCGUGCGUAGGUGGUUUGUUAAGUCUGAUGUGAAAGCCCUGGGCCCAACCUGGGAAUGGCAUUGGAUACUGGCGAGCUAGAGUGCGGUAGAGGGCAGUGGAAUUCCCUGUGUAGCAGUGAAAUGCGUAGAGAUCGGGAGGAACAUCUGUGGCGAAGGCGACUGCCUGGACCAGCACUGACACUGAGGCACGAAAGCGUGGGGAGCAAACAGGAUUAGAUACCCCGGUAGUCC
RNAcentral lists this ribosomal RNA (292 nucleotides) under uncultured bacterium. RNAcentral describes it as "partial 16S ribosomal RNA". It matches the Rfam family "Bacterial small subunit ribosomal RNA", at positions 505 to 796 of the family's 1533-position model. The record is from RNAcentral.